RNAcentral lists this ribosomal RNA (253 nucleotides) under uncultured bacterium. Its description in RNAcentral is "partial 16S ribosomal RNA". It matches the Rfam family "Bacterial small subunit ribosomal RNA", at positions 524 to 776 of the family's 1533-position model. The record is from RNAcentral.
UACGAAGGGGGCUAGCGUUGUUCGGAAUUACUGGGCGUAAAGCGCACGUAGGCGGAUACUUAAGUCAGGGGUGAAAUCCCGGGGCUCAACCCCGGAACUGCCUUUGAUACUGGGUAUCUCGAGUCCGGAAGAGGUGAGUGGAAUUCCGAGUGUAGAGGUGAAAUUCGUAGAUAUUCGGAGGAACACCAGGGGCGAAGGCGGCCCACUGGUCCGGUACUGACGCUGAGGUGCGAAAGCGUGGGGAGCAAACAGG